RNAcentral lists this ribosomal RNA (392 nucleotides) under uncultured bacterium. RNAcentral describes it as "bacterial SSU rRNA". It matches the Rfam family "Bacterial small subunit ribosomal RNA", at positions 30 to 426 of the family's 1533-position model. The record is from RNAcentral.
AUUGAACGCUGGCGGCAUGCCUUACACAUGCAAGUCGAACGGCAGCGGACCUUCGGGUGCCGGCGAAUGGCGAACGGGUGAGUAAAGUAUCGGAACGUACCUUUCAGUGGGGGAUAACUGUCCGAAAGGACAGCUAAUACCGCAUAUUCUGUGAGCAGGAAAGCAGGGGAUCGCAAGACCUUGCGCUGAUUGAGCGGCCGAUAUCAGAUUAGCUAGUUGGUGAGGUAAAGGCUCACCAAGGCGACGAUCUGUAGCGGGUCUGAGAGGAUGAUCCGCCACACUGGAACUGAGACACGGUCCAGACUCCUACGGGAGGCAGCAGUGGGGAAUUUUGGACAAUGGGGGCAACCCUGAUCCAGCCAUGCCGCGUGAGUGAAGAAGGCCUCGGUUGU